GGAGAGGUGGCUGAGUGGUUGAAAGCACCGCACUGCUAACGCGGCAUAGGGUUUAACGCCCUAUCACGGGUUCGAAUCCCGUCCUCUCCGCCA
This 93-nucleotide transfer RNA is filed under the name Candidatus Dojkabacteria bacterium. RNAcentral's name for it is "tRNA-Ser". It matches the Rfam family "tRNA". Rfam says of the family: Transfer RNA (tRNA) molecules are approximately 80 nucleotides in length. Their secondary structure includes four short double-helical elements and three loops (D, anti-codon, and T loops). The record is from RNAcentral.